RNAcentral lists this ribosomal RNA (497 nucleotides) under uncultured bacterium. RNAcentral's name for it is "partial 16S ribosomal RNA". It matches the Rfam family "Bacterial small subunit ribosomal RNA", at positions 28 to 507 of the family's 1533-position model. The record is from RNAcentral.
GAUGAACGCUGGCGGCGUGCCUAAUACAUGCAAGUCGAGCGGACGGACGAGAAUCUUGCUUCCCUGAUGUUAGCGGCGGGCGGGUGAGUAACACGUGGAUAACCUACCUAUAAGACUGGGAUAACUUCGGGAAACCGGAUCUCACACCGGAUAAUAUGUUGAACCGCAUGGUUCAAAAGUGAAAGACGGUCUUGCUGUCACUUAUAGAUGGAUCCGCGCUGCAUUAGCUAGUUGGUAAGGUAACGGCUUACCAAGGCAACGAUGCGUAGCCGACCUGAGAGGGCGAUCAGCCACACUGGAACUGAGACACGGCCCAGACUCCUACGGGAGGCAGCAGUAGGGAAUCUUCGACAAUGGGCGAAAGCCUGACCGAGCCACGCCGCGUGCGUGAAGAAGGCCUUCGGAUCGUAAAACGCUUUUAUUAGGGAAGAACAUAUGUGUAAGUAAAUGUGCGCAGCUUGACGGUACCUGAUCAGAAAGCACCGGCUAACUACGUG